RNAcentral lists this ribosomal RNA (429 nucleotides) under Pseudomonadota bacterium. RNAcentral's name for it is "Proteobacteria bacterium partial 16S ribosomal RNA". It matches the Rfam family "Bacterial small subunit ribosomal RNA", at positions 355 to 776 of the family's 1533-position model. Lineage: Bacteria; Pseudomonadati; Pseudomonadota. The record is from RNAcentral.
UGGGGAAUAUUGGACAAUGGGCGAAAGCCUGAUCCAGCCAUGCCGCGUGUGUGAAGAAGGUCUUCGGAUUGUAAAGCACUUUAAGUUGGGAGGAAGGGCAGUAAGCGAAUACCUUGCUGUUUUGACGUUACCGACAGAAUAAGCACCGGCUAACUCUGUGCCAGCAGCCGCGGUAAUACAGAGGGUGCAAGCGUUAAUCGGAAUUACUGGGCGUAAGGCGCGCGUAGGUGGUUCGUUAAGUUGAAUGUGAAAGCCCCGGGCUCAACCUGGGAACUGCAUCCAAAACUGGCGAGCUAGAGUAGGGCAGAGGGUGGUGGAAUUUCCUGUGUAGCGGUGAAAUGCGUAGAUAUAGGAAGGAACACCAGUGGCGAAGGCGACCACCUGGGCUCAUACUGACACUGAGGUGCGAAAGCGUGGGGAGCAAACAGG